GUGGGGAAUAUUGGACAAUGGGCGAAAGCCUGAUCCAGCCAUGCCGCGUGUGUGAAGAAGGUCUUCGGAUUGUAAAGCACUUUAAGUUGGGAGGAAGGGCAGUAAGUUAAUACCUUGCUGUUUUGACGUUACCGACAGAAUAAGCACCGGCUAACUUCGUGCCAGCAGCCGCAGUAAUACGAAGGGUGCAAGCGUUAAUCGGAAUUACUGGGCGUAAAGCGCGCGUAGGUGGUUUUGUAAGUUGGAGGUGAAAUCCCCGGGCUCAACCUGGGAACUGCCUCCAAAACUGCAUGACUAGAGUAUGGUAGAGGGUAGUGGAAUUUCCUGUGUAGCGGUGAAAUGCGUAGAUAUAGGAAGGAACACCAGUGGCGAAGGCGACUACCUGGACUGAUACUGACACUGAGGUGCGAAAGCGUGGGGAGCAAACAGGAUUAGAAACCCGGGUAGUCC
RNAcentral lists this ribosomal RNA (450 nucleotides) under uncultured bacterium. RNAcentral describes it as "partial 16S ribosomal RNA". It matches the Rfam family "Bacterial small subunit ribosomal RNA", at positions 354 to 796 of the family's 1533-position model. The record is from RNAcentral.